Molecule: long non-coding RNA, 787 nt
Organism: Labrus mixtus (cuckoo wrasse)
Lineage: Eukaryota; Metazoa; Chordata; Actinopteri; Labriformes; Labridae
Exons: 3
Source: RefSeq, a predicted model, not a curated record
CUGUAAAAAUAAUGGACGAGACAAGGUCCCCGGUCUAGUGAAGCUUUUAUUUUUAGAGCUCCCCCUGCUGACUGGCUGCAGUAUAGGUCAUAAACCCCGCCUCCUCAAUGAUAACAGAUGGGAUGUGGGUCAAACUGUAAAGCUAAAAUACUCGUCACAUCAUUUUUUUCCAAACCUAAACUCUGCUGUGAUCAUUAGUUAUUAUCACCCUACAUUGUGUUCAAGUGCUCAUUUUUCUGUGAAGUUUGUUUUAAAUAAGUUAUUUGAGGUUGAAAAACAGGAUUUUACGUCAUAUUUGACGAUGAUUGACAGCUGCCGAUCUUGCGUAGCUCUCUCUGUGAAUAGCAAAAGUUACGUAGUGAAGGAAAGCCGAGACGCCAUUGAAUUUUUCCGUUCAGUUUUUUCGUCUUUUUUUGGCAAAAUGAGUUGUUCUGCAGUAAACUGUUCUAACCGACCUGUGGGAGCUAAGGGAUCUUUGCAGUUUUUUCGGUGACCAUGAUGCAGCCAGACUGAAGCAGCACGUUGUGAAGGUGGACGCCAUCAUCUUGUCUUUGCAGUGCUGAUUCUGAAGAGCAUGUCUUCACAUAGGACUCAAAGGAAAUCAAUGCUCAAAGGAAACAGCAGUCCAGACUCUGAUUCCAGCUCCGGUGAGGUUCUGCACACAAAUCUGAUUAUAUGAGAAUAUUUAACAUUAGUUUAAUUUAUCAGGCUGGCCCAUGUGAUGACAGUUUAAAAUAAUCUUCAAUAGAAAGUGGCAGGAACACUUUUGUCUUAAAACAUAAAUUCA